AACGCACCUUGCGCUCCCCCCCUGGGGGAGCAUGCCUGUUUGAGAAUCGCCAAGGACCUGGCCACCAGUCGGGGGCCGCGUUGGGGGGUCAGGCUCUAUGGGUCUGUCUCUCUAAAUCGAGGGCAAGGACCGCAGCGUCCGUGUGCUGGAGACAGCCGGUCUACUCACGGCGCGCUGCGGACACCCGCCGACACGCACAUCAGCACCUCUUUGAUCUCAAAUCAGGCAGGACCACCCGCCGAACUUAA
Molecule: unclassified non-coding RNA, 248 nt
Filed under: uncultured fungus
Lineage: Eukaryota; Fungi
Description: partial contains internal transcribed spacer 2 and large subunit ribosomal RNA
Source: RNAcentral